GAAAUGCGAUAAUUAAUGUGAAUUGCAGAAUUCAGUGAAUCAUCGAGUCUUUGAACGCACAUUGCGCCCCCUGGUAUUCCGGGGGGCAUGCCUGUCCGAGCGUCAUUGCUGCCCUCAAGCACGGCUUGUGUGUUGGGCUUCCGUCCCUGGCAACGGGGACGGGCCCAAAAGGCAGUGGCGGCACCAUGUCUGGUCCUCGAGCGUAUGGGGCUUUGUCACCCGCUCCCGUAGGUCCAGCUGGCAGCUAACCUCGCAACCAAUCUUUUUAACCAGGUUGACCUCGGAUCAGGUAGGGAUACCCGCUGAACUUAAGC
Molecule: unclassified non-coding RNA, 314 nt
Filed under: plant metagenome
Description: partial contains 5.8S ribosomal RNA, internal transcribed spacer 2, and large subunit ribosomal RNA
Rfam family: 5.8S ribosomal RNA (bases 1-105)
Source: RNAcentral